RNAcentral lists this long non-coding RNA (612 nucleotides) under Gallus gallus (chicken). RNAcentral's name for it is "long non-coding RNA NONGGAT003852". The record is from RNAcentral. Lineage: Eukaryota; Metazoa; Chordata; Aves; Galliformes; Phasianidae.
GUUCCAUCAUGUGUGCUUCAGACAAACUAUGAACAUAGAAAGCACGGAAGGAAGAAAAAAAAGAUGCACACAACCCAGUUACAUACAUCUAAAAUGACACUGGCGUUCUACUGGUAUUCACCAGGUAGGAACUGGGCAAUAAUAGCAUUUGGGUGUCAGCCUCAUGCACAGCGCUCACAAAUGGUCAGUCUCCUGCCUGAGAUAACAAGAGACAUUCAUCCUCUUUGCAGGGUGCACAAAGGCAAGGCUGGAAAAAGGCAGGAGGAAAGCAUUAUGAUGUGAAACAAAGGAACAUCAGCAGUAAUGACUUGCCUACAGUGCUGAAAGCAGGAACUAGAUCAUGACCCUGGAUCCAUGCCUUGCUGGCUCCACCAGCCAUUAAACCUCCAGCAUGAAAGGCAAGUUGUGCUAACAAUGCCUUGCUCCAGCAUGCUCACACACUGGUUCCUAUGACCUGCAACAUUUCCACCAGGCACGAGCUAACACAGAGCUAACACAGCAUUGGGCAGGAGCUGGCUUCAUGCCCACCACAGGGCACCAAGGGGCUGAGGAGCAGUGCUGCUGUGUGACUCCUCCUUAUCUCUCCCAGCUGCCAUCUGAGCUCCCCACAGG